This 1702-nucleotide unclassified non-coding RNA is filed under the name Leishmania donovani. Its description in RNAcentral is "gene:LdHU3.04.1360(CDS-product:hypothetical_prote in_conserved)". Lineage: Eukaryota; Euglenozoa; Kinetoplastea; Trypanosomatida; Trypanosomatidae. The record is from RNAcentral.
UGUCGCAACUGAUCGCCACCGGUGUUGCUGUUGAGUGCCAUAGGCUCACCUGUGCCAGGGGCGGCGGUGGUAUCAACUCCAACGCAGGUACACAUAUCCAUCACAUCUGCGAACUUCUUCAGACAGCGUUCAUCGCGUCCUGCUCUCCUCCCUCUCUUGACACCACCCCCCCCCUCCAUCCAGUCAUGUCCCGAUCAAGGCAACAACAGGCGGAGGAAGUGGCACUGCACCACUUCUUCAAAACGGAGCGCGUUAUCCGCCUGGAGUGCGAGCGGCGGGAGGCCAAGGCACGGCUCAAACUGAUCGACAUCAUGUCAGGUGAUCUGGACGAUCAGCUCCUAUGCGUGGCACAGUUUAAGAAGGAGUGGCUGCAGAGCCGGCGUGUGCUGGAGGAGGCCAGACAGGCCGUUGUGCAGGAAGAGGCCUCGAAACGCGCAUACGUGGAGGAGGAGUACGUGAGGGCGAUCAACAAGAUGAUCCGCCAUUAUCAUCCGCUUAGCUCUCGCGCGGUAUGAGAGCGAGAGAGCCGGCAGUCCGUAGCAGACAGAGAGCGGAGGGGCAGGGGGGAGGCGGUGGCCAAAGAAUAGAGGCAUGCGCAGCACCUCUAGCUCUUCUUUCUCUUAGACGUGCGUUCAGUAUCUCCGUAGCUGCAGCGGCUGCCACUACUGUUACUGUUUCGAAACGGCCCUGGAUCGGGGGCGGAGUGUAUCGGUCGCUUGCCGAUGCGCGUAAGGAUGCUCCCGCCUCCUUUUCUUCCACUACGGAGCCGCUCACAGGCACCCACACAGCGGUACAUGCAGGCCUAUCUAGAUGGGCUACACUGUCGCCAUCGACGUCCCAUUUCCGUCAGAGGCGCCGCCGCCCCAUACAUGACUCUCCUCAGCGCCCGUGUUUUUGCACGCGCUCGUACAUGCGCACGCGUGCGCCCCCGAUGGGGCGUGGGAGCACGAACAGCGUAUCGUUACCCUGACGGAGGCCUCCGCCCCCCUCGGCCUCCAUCUUUUCCAGAGCGAAUACGAGCGUGGAAGCGCUGCAUCGCGUGGACGGAGGCGGCCUCAGUGUUUUUGCCCUCUGUGUGUGUGUGGAGGGGGGAAGAGGGGGGAGCGUUCUCAAAGGUGAGUGUGCCAACACCGUCCUGCACCCCCUGCUGCUCACCCCCCCCCCCACACCCUGCCCUAACGCACACACUCGAACGAGAACGCACGCUUUUCUGCUUUCCUCGCUGCGAGCAAGUUGCACAGUACCUGACCCUCCCCAUCCGCCGUAUUUAGCGGCUGCCGAUGCGAUCACCGUUGAGGUGAGGUGCGAGACAAAAACGAAGCGCCACACACGCGACCCCGCCAUCCUUCCUGUUUCUGCGACUGACAGGCAGCCUCGAACAUGCACACCGACGUGCGGCACUGGGGAUGCGGCGAUGGCGGCGGGAGCGAGGCAGGCGGUGCCGCUGGUGGUCGUGUGGCCGCCCUCGAAACACGCAGGCGACCGCGGUGCUUCCUCUCUUUCGCUGAUGCUCGCCGCAUGUCGAUGAAUGUAUCAUGCGCGUGUCCCCGCGGCCUUUCCGGCGGUCCGCCUCUACACCCCUCCAACCUACCCCUCGCACACACACACACACACACACCACACCCACCCACCCUUGUUGUCCUUUGCUCCAUUGCGUAUGGUCUGCUCUCCCUCCAUCACACACGCACGCGCACAACGCCAG